This 360-nucleotide transfer-messenger RNA is filed under the name Campylobacteraceae. RNAcentral describes it as "Campylobacter_D sp016598935 Standard tmRNA". It matches the Rfam family "transfer-messenger RNA". From Rfam's summary of the family: Bacterial tmRNA, also known as 10Sa RNA or SsrA, is named for its dual tRNA and mRNA-like properties. Lineage: Bacteria; Pseudomonadati; Campylobacterota; Epsilonproteobacteria; Campylobacterales. The record is from RNAcentral. RNAcentral also lists the same sequence under 1 other name.
GGGAGCGACUUGGCUUCGACAGGAGUAAGUCUGCUUGGAUGGCAUGUCGCUUUAGGCAAAGCGUAAAAAGCCUAAAUAAAAUUAAACGCAAACAACGUUAAAUUUGCUCCUGCUUACGCUAAAGCUGCGUAAGUUCAGUUGAGCCUGAAUUUUAAGUCAUACUAUCUAGCUUAAAAUUUGGUCAUCUUAAGAUAGUGUAGCUUAAAACUUGACGCAUUUUAAGUGAAAUUAAAGUCUUAGCUAUAUUUUUAAGUUUUGGAAGAUGAGCGAAAUAUAGUGAAAAAGUCAUCUUUACUAAGCAUGUAGAGGUCUUUGCGGGGUUAUUUUUGGAUAGGGGUUCAAUUCCCCUCGCUUCCACCA